Molecule: ribosomal RNA, 253 nt
Filed under: uncultured bacterium
Lineage: Bacteria
Description: partial 16S ribosomal RNA
Rfam family: Bacterial small subunit ribosomal RNA
Source: RNAcentral
UACGUAGGGGGCAAGCGUUGUCCGGAUUUAUUGGGCGUAAAGAGCGUGUAGGCGGCCAUACAGGUCCGUUGUGAAAACUGGAGGCUUAACCUCCAGACGUCGAUGGAAACCUUGUGGCUAGAGUCCGGAAGAGGAGAGUGGAAUUCCUGGUGUAGCGGUGAAAUGCGCAGAUAUCAGGAAGAACACCCGUGGCGAAGGCGGCUCUCUGGGACGGUACUGACGCUGAGACGCGAAAGCGUGGGGAGCGAACAGG